Molecule: ribosomal RNA, 446 nt
Filed under: Calanus hyperboreus
Lineage: Eukaryota; Metazoa; Arthropoda; Copepoda; Calanoida; Calanidae
Description: partial 16S ribosomal RNA
Rfam family: Bacterial large subunit ribosomal RNA (bases 282-439)
Source: RNAcentral
GCCGCGUUAGUGYUAAGGUAGCAUAGUAAUUAGUUUUUUAAUUGGAAAAUGGAAUGAAUGGUUUCACUAAGAUAUGGUAUUUAUGCUAAUAAAUGAAAUUUUAAUUUAAGUGAAAAUACUUAAAAGAUCUUUUAAGACGAGAAGACCCUAUGAAGCUGAUAGACUAUAAAUAUAAUUAUUAUAAAUUUUUAAGUUUAUUUUUUGGGGUAAAAUUUAAUAAUUUUAUUUAAAUAAGCUUAUUUUAAUUGAUCCUUUAGGAAUUAUGAAAAAGCUCCUCUAGGGAUAACAGCAUUAUACCUAUAAGAGUUCUUAUCAGAAUAGGUGUUUGUGACCUCGAUGUUGAAUUAAAUACUUUUAUUUGUGCAGGAGCUAAUAAAAGACGGUCUGUUCGACCCUUAAUAUUUACAUGAUUUGAGUUAAAAUCGACGCAAGUCAGAUUGGUUUCA